This 507-nucleotide ribosomal RNA is filed under the name uncultured bacterium. Its description in RNAcentral is "partial 16S ribosomal RNA". It matches the Rfam family "Bacterial small subunit ribosomal RNA", at positions 28 to 506 of the family's 1533-position model. The record is from RNAcentral.
GACGAACGCUGGCGGCGUGCCUAAUACAUGCAAGUCGAGCGCAGGAAGUCAUCCGAACCCUUCGGGGGGACGUUGACGGAAUGAGCGGCGGACGGGUGAGUAACACGUAAAGAACCUGCCCUCAGGUCUGGGAUAACCACGAGAAAUCGGGGCUAAUACCGGAUGGGUCAUCGGACCGCAUGGUCCGAGGAUGAAAGGCGCUCCGGCGUCGCCUGGGGAUGGCUUUGCGGUGCAUUAGCUAGUUGGUGGGGUAAUGGCCCACCAAGGCGACGAUGCAUAGCCGACCUGAGAGGGUGAUCGGCCACACUGGGACUGAGACACGGCCCAGACUCCUACGGGAGGCAGCAGUAGGGAAUCUUCCACAAUGGACGAAAGUCUGAUGGAGCAACGCCGCGUGAACGAUGAAGGCCCUCGGGUCGUAAAGUUCUGUUGUAAGGGAAGAACAAGUGCCGCAGGCAAUGGCGGCACCUUGACGGGACCGUGCGAGAAAGCCACGGCGAACUACGU